RNAcentral lists this long non-coding RNA (858 nucleotides) under Capra hircus (goat). RNAcentral describes it as "lncRNA (ENSCHIG00010012837.1)". The stretch from base 705 to 774 matches the Rfam family "tRNA". Lineage: Eukaryota; Metazoa; Chordata; Mammalia; Artiodactyla; Bovidae. The record is from RNAcentral.
CUGAAGAUCGGAGGAAAUGACAGCUGGGGAAGCCACAGCUCCCAGUCAAAGAGCUCACACGUUGACGUCAUUGUUACUUCCCAUCACUUCCCGUGAGACCUGGGGAUUACGUUGACUGCCUCCCUGUGUACAUCUUGGCUUUCUGAGUCUCAGUAACCUGGGAAGAGAGGCUCACCGUGGUUGGACGCUGUCAGUGAAGACCAUCUGUCCACAGCGGUUCCCAGACAACCUUCCCCAGGACCUCUCCAGCAUUCCCUCAGGGACCACCUGCAGUUUAGGUCUGCUCCUGGGAGAAUGAGUCACAGACUCCCUCUGGCACAUUUCUGAACUCCCGGGGUCAGGAUGAAGAAAAGUCAGAUGAAACUUAAGACAAGAGUCUUCCCAGCAAUAAGGAAUCCCAAAGCUUUGUUACAACUCGUUGAGAAGUUCUCUUGAGAAAGCUGGUCAGAGGCCAUCAGUGAAAAGGGGAGAAAAAUACCCCCAAGAGGUCUGCAAAAACCGGGCUCAUGGACGGAUGUUCUCCAUUCAACCACAGCACACACACAGCAGACGCAUUCUGAAUGACCGAACAUGUCCAUCAACUCUGAAGCCUGCGUCCCCUGCAAAGACCUUCCUCCCAAGCUUCAGAAUGGUAGACCGCCCUCCGCCAUCUCCCGGAUCUGUGUACUGGGCUCUUUCUGUCAAAAACGGGCCUCACUGUUACUUCCCUUGUGGUCCAGUGGCUGACUCCACACUCCCAAUGUGGGGGCCUGGGUUUGACCCCCGGUCAAGGAACUAGACCCCACAAGCCACAACUAAGACCAAAUAAACAAAUUAAUAUUUUUUUAAAAAAUGGAACUCAACACACCCCUCCUCAAG